CCUACGGGUGGCAGCAGUGGGGAAUAUUGCGCAAUGGGCGAAAGCCUGACGCAGCGACGCCGCGUGAGGGAUGAAGGUCUUCGGAUCGUAAACCUCUGUCAGCAGGGAAGAACGGUCACUGUGCUAAUCAGCAGUGAAUUGACGGUACCUGCAAAGGAAGCACCGGCUCACUCCGUGCCAGCAGCCGCGGUAAUACGGAGGGUGCGAGCGUUAAUCGGAGUUACUGGGCGUAAAGCGUUCGUAGGCGGUAUGUCAAGUCAAGGGUGAAAUCCCCGCGCUCAACGUGGGAACUGCCUUUGAUACUGGCAAACUGGAGUGUGGGAGAGGAUAGUGGAAUGCCAGGUGUAGGAGUGAAAUGCGUAGAGAUCUGGAGGAACAUCAGUGGCGAAGGCGACUAUCUGGCACAUAACUGACGCUGAGGAGCGAAAGCGUGGGUAGCAAACAGGAUUAGAUACCCCUGUAGUC
Molecule: ribosomal RNA, 465 nt
Filed under: uncultured bacterium
Lineage: Bacteria
Description: partial 16S ribosomal RNA
Rfam family: Bacterial small subunit ribosomal RNA
Source: RNAcentral